AGAACAGAACAGAACAGCAGCCCAUGGAAUCCAAGUAAUGUGGCAUCCGGAAGUCCCCUCCAAGUGCAUGCAAAGACACAGAGACGGUGUCUUGCUAUGUUGCCCAGGUUCAUCUCAAACUCCUGGACUCAAGCAAUC
This is a long non-coding RNA of Gorilla gorilla gorilla (western lowland gorilla), 138 nucleotides long. RefSeq lists it as uncharacterized. Lineage: Eukaryota; Metazoa; Chordata; Mammalia; Primates; Hominidae. The record is from RefSeq and is a predicted model, not a curated record. The transcript has 3 exons.